AAGGUCCCCCACACGGGGUCCUCAGAGCUCACAGCAUUUGCUUCUCUUUGCACCAGUGGGAGGCAGAGGGGGAAGGGGCUCGCCGUGGCUCCUGGGGUUUAGGAUCCUGUGGGGGUAGCGGCUGCCUUGCUACAGUCCUUCCCCACAGAUGAGCUUCAGGGGGCCCCACAGAGCCUGAUUUCCUGGCCUGCGCGCACGGCUACCACCAGGACAUAUGACCCUGCAUGUGUGACUUGCCAGCCUUCUGCCAGAGGGGCGCGAGCAGCUCUGACGUGGCCCAGCCUUGAGCCUCUGCAUCCCACCGUCCCCUCCCUCCUGGCAGAGAUCAGCUCCUCCAGCACUGUCCACUCAACCUCCCACAACCCACAAUGACGCCUUUGUACGCAGGUAAUGUUGCCCAGCCAUGUAUGGGGCUUGAAGUCACGCAUAAUUUGGGGACAGAAUGUGGCUUUUAAGUCACGUGCUAACCAGCCUGAUUUGCAAGGUAGGGGUCCAGUGCAGUGACUGUCAUUGGGGGUAGCCUGGAGACGUCCAUGUCAUGAAUCCCGGCAUUAUGUGGCUCCAGACUGUUAACCCAAACAGGAAGAUCCAGUCACUUGGACCUCCUGCUCCUGCUCUGGCCUUGUUCCCGCGGUUACUCUCUUUGCUCCACGCCAGCUCCUCCAGGAAGCCUUCCCUGAAGGAUCCGGGCCUGCGGGAGCCUCUUUGCUGUAGGAAGAUCCCACCUCUGGGUUCUUUCAGGCCUGACCACCUGUCAGGCAGCACCUGGCAGCCAGGAGCACACAGCAGCCAGCCCCUUCCAGGGGGCAGAGUCACAGCCAUCCCCAUGUCACAGGGGACCAAGGCCCAGCAAGCAGGGCCUUCCUCGCUGUUGAGCCCCAGGUCUGGUGUCAAGGUGCCUUGUGGUGUGUGGAGGGGCCUCAGGAGAGCCAGGCUGGGGUGGGUUAGGGGACUGCACUCCCCAGGUUGUGAGAGCGGCUGGUCCCUAAAGGCCCCAGCCCGGGCCUUAGGGUGGCAGGAAUGGGUGGAGGCUGAGGAGGUGGGGCCAGAGGAGAGCACUAGGCCCAGGUGGACCUGGGAAGCAGGCUGUGGGCGGCAGCCAGUGGCCCUGCAGGCUUCCCAGUCUUCAUCCUUAGAGCAGCAUCGAGGUCCAAGUCUGUCAGAGUGGGGUGGGGGCCCAAGGCAGAUGCCCUGCCCGCCGGCUGAGGACUUGGAGACCAUCCUGUCUGCUGUCUGCUUCAAUCUGCAGCUCCACACCCCAGAUCCCACUGCCAGCCGUGCCCUGUCACAUCCUCUUCAGCCCUUGUGACACUGUGUCCACAGUUCCUGAGAUGCUUCCAGGUCCUCCUCAGUGCAUGGCUGUCAUAAGACAGAGUGAGGACAGGAGGGGAGUGCGGAGCUCCCGGGUAAGGAGACCCCACGUCCCAUGGGCACGGCUGGUGUUCUUCCCGACAUGGCCCACUGGGCAGCCUGCUUGGCCCUCACCCUAGCUGAGUGCCAUCUGGGCAGGACGCAGGCCCUGUGGUCGUCGUUGAGGGGAGGGAAGGGGUGGAGCUCGGAGUUGACUCCCGUGGCUGAACUGGGACUGAACGGAACCACUUGGAAAUGAGGUGCCAGCUCCUGGGAGAGGCGAGUGGCUGCUGCCCCCAGAGGCCAUGGUGGGUACUGCACCCAGGUGUGUGGUCCCCGGGGAGCCUGGAGGCACUUGUCCGAGGCCAGGCGGUGGGGACACUGGUGACUCUGAUCUUGGCUGCCCGACAAGAGGACUGGUGCAUCUCUAACCCACUGCAGAAAUCGGGCUUGUCAGCCAAGGUGUACACUGCUAGUGGAAAUACCCAGAAACGGUGGAAUAAAGAUGUUCCAGGACUACGGUUGAAGUUUGAUCAUCAACAAACCCAGACUACAAGAAACAUCCAGGGCAGAAACGUCCUGGCUAAAAGGAAAUCAUAGCAGGUGCCAACUUCGCUCUACAAGAGCAAGGGCAGGGCCCCGGGAAUCCCAAGUAUGUGGGUGUCUAGGCGAGGUGCUUUCCUGGGCUGUAACUUUUUCUUCGAAAGAUAUUGUUUAAAGGAACAUGUAUUACAAUAAAAGCACAAAAUGCGGGCAGAGAC
This is a long non-coding RNA of Cavia porcellus (domestic guinea pig), 2111 nucleotides long. NCBI's taxonomy places the organism in Eukaryota, Metazoa, Chordata, Mammalia, Rodentia, Caviidae. The record is from Ensembl.